This 461-nucleotide ribosomal RNA is filed under the name uncultured bacterium. RNAcentral describes it as "bacterial SSU rRNA". It matches the Rfam family "Bacterial small subunit ribosomal RNA", at positions 56 to 513 of the family's 1533-position model. The record is from RNAcentral.
UGCAGUCGAGCGGUUGAGAGAAGCUUGCUUCUCUUGAGAGCGGCGGACGGGUGAGUAAUGCCUAGGAAUCUGCCUGGUAGUGGGGGAUAACGCUCGGAAACGGACGCUAAUACCGCAUACGUCCUACGGGAGAAAGCAGGGGACCUUCGGGCCUUGCGCUAUCAGAUGAGCCUAGGUCGGAUUAGCUAGUUGGUGAGGUAAUGGCUCACCAAGGCGACGAUCCGUAACUGGUCUGAGAGGAUGAUCAGUCACACUGGAACUGAGACACGGUCCAGACUCCUACGGGAGGCAGCAGUGGGGAAUAUUGGACAAUGGGCGAAAGCCUGAUCCAGCCAUGCCGCGUGUGUGAAGAAGGUCUUCGGAUUGUAAAGCACUUUAAGUUGGGAGGAAGGGCAUUAACCUAAUACGUUGGUGUCUUGACGUUACCGACAGAAUAAGCACCGGCUAACUCUGUGCCAGCA